RNAcentral lists this long non-coding RNA (187 nucleotides) under Cavia porcellus (domestic guinea pig). RNAcentral describes it as "lncRNA (ENSCPOG00000036551.1)". The record is from RNAcentral. Lineage: Eukaryota; Metazoa; Chordata; Mammalia; Rodentia; Caviidae.
UAAAGAAUGGAAUGAUUUUUCUCAAGGAUACCAGAGUGGAGGGGGUGCACCGAGUCAUCCGCGAGGCUGAGAACAGAAUGCACAAUACAGAAGCCUCGUUCAUGCUCUGUCCCUCUCAUCACUGGACAGUACUACUUCCCACAGCUCGAGGACCCGAUAUGUUCUCUUUAGAAAAUUAUACUCAAGA